GCGGGUGUAGCUCAGUGGUAGAGCACCAGCUUGCCAAGCUGGGGGUCGCGGGUUCGAAUCCCGUCGCCCGCU
Molecule: transfer RNA, 72 nt
Filed under: Thermotoga maritima MSB8
Lineage: Bacteria; Thermotogati; Thermotogota; Thermotogae; Thermotogales; Thermotogaceae
Rfam family: tRNA
About the family: Transfer RNA (tRNA) molecules are approximately 80 nucleotides in length.
Source: Rfam by way of RNAcentral